Molecule: ribosomal RNA, 490 nt
Filed under: uncultured bacterium
Lineage: Bacteria
Description: partial 16S ribosomal RNA
Rfam family: Bacterial small subunit ribosomal RNA
Source: RNAcentral
GAUGAACGCUGGCGGCGUGCCUAACACAUGCAAGUCGAACGCUUCUAGAGAAGGUGCUUGCACCGACUCAAAGAGGAGUGGCGGAUGGGUGAGUAACGCGUGGGUAACCUGCCCUCGACAUAGGGAUAACUGUGAGAAAUCAUGGCAAAUACCAAAUAAGCUUACACUUACGCAUGUAAGAGUAGGAAAAGAUUUAUCGGUUGAGGAUGGACCCGCGUCUGAGUAGCUAGGUGGUAGGGUAAAGGCCUACCAAGGCAAUGAUCAGUAGCCGGCCUGAGAGGGUGAUCGGCCACAUUGGGACUGAGACACGGCACAAACUCCUACGGGAGGCAGCAGUGGGGAAUAUUGCACAAUGGGGGGAACCCUGAUGCAGCAACGCCGCGUGAAGGAAGAAGGUUUUCGGAUCGUAAACUUCUAUCGAUGGAGAAGAAAAAAAUGACGGUAUCCAAGUAAGAAGCCCCGGCUAACUACGUGCCAGCAGCCGCAGUAA